Phragmites australis (common reed) is the source of this 4267-nucleotide long non-coding RNA. RefSeq lists it as uncharacterized. The transcript is spliced from 3 exons. The record is from RefSeq and is a predicted model, not a curated record. NCBI's taxonomy places the organism in Eukaryota, Viridiplantae, Streptophyta, Magnoliopsida, Poales, Poaceae.
GGCCUGUGGCUCGGAGCUCCGUCCCCUGCUAUUGGCGUCGAAAUCGGACAGGGGGAGAGCUGCGGAAGGAGAGACACAGUAGCGUUUGCAGGCGGAGUAGGAGGGAGAUCCGGCGGAUAAGGGGGAGAAGAGAGCCGGAGUCCAUUCUCCGCGACUCGCCGUUGCCGUUGCCGGACCGGAAGGGAGAGCCAGCAAUGGUGGGAUAUCGCGGAGGGACUAUGCUGCAAAAAAUGGACCGCGAUUAAUAAUCACGAUCCGUUUUAGAGAGCUAUAUGCAAAAUAUUGGAUCACCAUUAAUAAUUACGAUCCAUUUUAGGGGUGUUUAUGUAAAACAAUGGACCGCGACUAACCAUCGUUAUCCAUUUUAGGGGGUUUAAUGAAAAAUAUUAGAUCGCGGUUAACAAUCGCGAUCCAAGUCAGGAGGUUUUAUGUAAAAUUUGUUGACCACAGUCAAUCCUCGGUGGCCACGCUUGUGCCGUGGCCAUGGCGGCUCGGUGCUCCGCCAACCUCCAUCGCGAACCCACACACCCAGAUGAGAAGAAGGUAGACGAGAGAGAUGGAGGUGGCGGGCUCGAGCUCCGGGCGCUGUGCAGCACAGCGAGUCCGUGCCUGAACAGGGAUAGGCGGCGGCGGCGCGACAGCGACGGGCGGGGCGAGUGGGCGCGGUCGUGGUACCUGAACAGGGAGGGGAUCGAGCGCGGCUCGCUGUCGCGGCCCAAGAAGCCAAACUUUAUCUGGGCCACCUACUGCUCCUUCGUCCGCGACGUCUGCCUCAGGCUUCAGUUAAAACUAACCGACUGUGAGACAGUGGCUUCGCCCUUGACGUGGAUAGCAUCAUUCCUCAAAUGCCAGGCGCGCCAAAAAAACAGAAGAAUACAAGCACAGGUUUCAUCAUUCACUGAAUUGAGAAGCACCUGUAGCCAAGCCGUGCCAGUAUAAGCAAAUUCCGGUUCGGAGGGCAGAUCCCAGACCUCCCUCAUCGCCUCCCGCAGGGCUUUGGCCUUAAUGCACCUCACCACAGCAUGGAAUCCAUCUUCCUCCGCGUUUCCACACAGGGAGCACGUCGGGCAGGGAGCCAAAGUUCAACGCCAACGGCUCAUCUGUGUGAUGCCAUUUUUUUUUUCUUGCUGCAGGCUGCAGAUUACAAUGGCAACGCUAUCGUGCUCUUCCAUCGCUUUUAUCUCCUUCAAUCUCUUGCCAAGAACGAGAGGCAAGUAAAGAUAUUUUAAUAAUGUAUGCCUGGCGCUUCCAUGGCACCACCCAAUAUUUCUCUGAGCUUUAUAUAGAAUGUAAAUUGGUCUCUGAAGAUGUGAUAUCCCUGAUAAUUAAUGCUAAUCUGCUUUCUCCAACGCGAGAUCAUGCUAUGGACUAUAUAUCCUAGCAGAGAAAGGGAGUAUUUUGUUUCUGUACAGGAUCUUAUCUAGUCUUGAUGAUUGGUCGGGAGUAGAAUUGCAGGUUCCUCCAAAUUUCCAAAAGGGAACUAAUGUUUCAGGGGCCAAAUGGGAUCUUAUCGCUUAUUACCAUGCAUGAUGCAUCCCGUAACUAACACUUUAGCACAAUUGCCCAAAGCAUCCUUGCAUGACUGUAGCAACCUAGCUACAAAGCAAGUUUAAUUUGUUGACAUAAGGAGCUUGACCUUGGUGCAAUGGCUUCCACAUUGUCGCGGUAAAAUGGAUGCCUACUUAUUUUGUCUACAGGGUCACUAACUAGAUUUUUGUCAUGUUCUGACACAGAGAGAAUAACGAAUUUCUUUUUCUUGUCUAAUUUCAAAGCGUUCACAUUUUGCUUUACGACCAUCAGACCCUAACAUUAGUACAUUACCUGACUAUGUACCUUUGUUGGUGUUAAUCGAGGGUAGUGUGUCAUAAGAAAAAUAUAUAUACAGAGUGUGUAUACAUGUACAUUCAAGCUGGCUUCGUGUUAAUACGUCCAUGGCUCUACGCAUGUGCAUUAUAUGAUCUACUGGUCUUUCGAGUGGCAUAAAUUGCCUUGGUGUUUUUUUUAUGAAAGAUGUGUUGAAAUUAUUAGAAUCCGAACAAGUAAUUGCGGAGAUUCAUGCCGGAAUGUCCACUUUGCAUUUUUACCAAGAAGGUGAGCAAUUUGCCCUUCUUAAAUAAUUGGUCUGGAUGUGAGUUAUAGCUUUAAGCAAUUUACCUGGAGCACCUAUAUUGCAAUCGUGGACAAAGGUAUGAUUCUUUUUUAGCAACUCUAUCGAACUUGAAGCAGCACUUUCCAAUAAUAACCAUAUCAGUAAGUAUUAGCAACUUGUUAUACUGAUAUUUAAUUUCUUCUCGGUAACUCAUAUCAGAUUCAUGUUCAAUUCUUCUUUCUUUCAUCAGUAUAUAUCCCUUGAAAUUUAGCACAUAGUUGAGUACCUAAAAUAUAGAAACACAAAUUUAUACAAUUCGCUCCAUUCUAUUGGUUCUUUAUUCUUUAACAGUUGAAAGUUACUCACCAACUCUUUGUUCUUCCAGACUGUUGCAACUGUUUGUGUAUUUCUUCCUUUAAAGAUUGAAGACACUAGACCCACCUUGCCCAUUAGAAUGAGUUGUCAUUGUGCAUAUGAAACAAUGUAUCGGGAAAACCCUGAUGCUGCUAGCAGAAUCUACCAGAAGAUACUCGAAAUUUUACAUCCUUCGUACUAUAGUUCUGUUUGUUUUUUAUUCUGAUUAUAGAUUCUAGUCCCCAAAGAAAAAGCAAAAACAAACAAUCACAAUAUAAAAGCUGAUUCUCACAAUCUGCAAGCUAAGUUUUACUACGAAAUUCUACAAUCUACAAUCUGGUGGGAAUGAGCUUCCACUGAUUCUACGGAAUGGACUGGAUUCUCACAAUCUGAAGCUAAAACAAAAGUCCUAUUACUCUUGACACUUAGCCUGCUGUUUUGUGAUAUUUUGGGGCUUUGCUGUUGUGUAACUUUUUCAAUUAAAAACAGGAAAUUCUUGAGAAGCAAAAGCCCUAAUUUUGGUAGGGGAGACAUUAACCCUAAUUUUAAUGAAGACAAGUGUCAUAAAGAAGGCAUCUAACCCAGUUUGUAAUGAAGAUCUGACUUUAGGUUUCAGGAAUCCAGCAAAUCCUAUCAAGCUAGUGAGUAUCUGAUAAUAUAAUAAACAAAUAUUUGAUGGAGCAGGUUUGAAUCCUGAAGGAUGCAAAAUUGAGAAUAAUUGUCUCGUUUCUGAAACAGGAGAUUUUCUACAAGGACAGUUUGUAACGAAGACCUGACUUAAGCUUUCAAGAAUCCAGCAAAUCCUAUCAAGCUAGCGAGUAUCUGAUAAUACGCUAAACAAACAUUUGAUGGAUCAUGUUUGAUUCCUGAAAGAUGCAAAAUUAAAAAUAGUUGUUUCGUUUCUGAAACAGGAGGUUUUUGACAAGGACACCUUCAGUAAAGAUGACAGGACGGGUGAUGCGGAGUUCGACAUCGAACCGCUGAUGCAAAUCAUUCAGAUGGAUCUGGAGGACAUCCACAGCAGCACCGUGUGGCCGAGCAGGACAUCCUCCUCAAGUUGAGAAAUGCUUCAGACUAUGUUGGCAGCCAUCUCCGUCAGGAAGCUGUUCCACCAAGGAUGCGUACAGACAUUUGCUGAACUUGCAGCACCAACCGCUGCAAAUCAAUGGAAGAAGGGCAAUUUCAGCUGACACCCUGAGUAUCCUCAAAGCAGCCUGGACUCCGGAGAGACAAGCUCCUGCAGCAUCGCAUCAAGACAUUUGCAUGGCGAUUGAGCAGGUCAUGGAAUCAUGCCACCAUUUUCACUAGUAGCUGCUGAUAUGGAGUCGUUGAUAAAAAAUUAGAUGGCUCAAAAAUAAAAUAAAAUCUAACAGACUCAAUUUGUUCAUGCAUAUUGAGUCGACUGUAGAGGAAUGAAACAAUCAAGCUCAUGUGGUAUUGACACAUGUAUUGCGUAUUGGUACUAUAUGAGCUGCUAUGUUUGCUUUAUUUAGCUUGCGUGCUUUCUUAUGUUACUGUAACAUGUAUUGGCACAUGUGAUUCAUUUCUAUAAUGAAAACAAGUGGUAAUUUCAAAUGCAAGUCUUGUUUGCAAGAGCUAAUUUGUGAUUCUAUCUGGCACUGGAUGAGUUGGCUCUUGAUGUUUCCUGAAAAUUCGACAUGUGGACAUCACCAAUGUCAAAUUUUGGUUCCAAUGAAACUGAAGCUAGCUUCCUUGCUUUUUGCUGCUGCCCACCAGUUCCCUUCACUAGAGAAUUCCCAUGUAUUUGAGAUGGAAGGAGAUGGAUAAAUUUUGGGCUAUUUGGAUUGAGGUCCUUGCGUAAUU